CCCUCUUUUGGUAUCUUCUGGUGAGCUCAACCCAAGGGUCCUACCAAGAUCAGGCUGGAUAAGAUGUUCAGAUAAUCAGCUUUCCAGUGAAGUCACGAACUUGCUGAAGCUGUCUGCUUCAUAAACCACACUGGUUUAUGCAAUUGUAGUCUGAAUGCUCAUGACUCUUCCCUGGAAGACCAGUGCAGACUGCUGAUCAGGAUGAAGGAAGCUGCUGUUGCACUCAUUCUGGAUGCAGAAAAUGAGGAUAUUGCCCAAGUUUGUUCUGAGGGAUGGAGAACCCACCGGAGAGUUCUAAAAAAAAAAAGUUGUGCAAUGAAAGAUAGGCUGGCACUAUUUUGCCUUAUGAAAGUUUCUCUUAACGUCUUCUUGAAUUUUUCCUCUGGAUCUUUAAAUAUGUUUCUAGCUUUUCGUCCCUGCUGAACACAGCAAAAAGCUUAUUGCUUUAUUCUUGCAUCAGUCUUCCCUGUCUAAAGAAUAGGUACUGUAGCUCCAUCCUAAAACCUAGAGGUAAGCAAUCUCCAGCUAAGGCGACAGCGUAUUUCUGGUUCUGAAGUACUACUGGAGACUGAGCCUAUUCUGAGCGUAUUCACAAUUGUUGGAUUCCUGCAGAAGUAUUAGUUAGGAAUUAGGAGUGAAGGGAGAUCUAUAAUGCUAAUAACCUAGCUGAAAGAGCUUUUCUCUUAUGUUUCCCUCUUACUGUCAGCAUUUCUGCAGGACCUAUGUGAGAAACACCAUAACAGCCUUCUCCAUCUUCAUGUUCUCACAGUCUCUUCAGUUUCACCCAGGUAGAUGGUGUGUGCCUGACAUCGAAUCAUAGAAAAUCCUUGUUUGGAAGGGACCCAUAAGGAUAAUCAAGUCCAAAUGUUAUUGGCAAAAACUAAUUCUAACAUACACAUGUAAAUGCAUAUCUAUUUGUCAUGGACCAGACAGGUAAAUUUCUACAUAUUUGAACAUUAACAUAAUUUUAUUUGUCUCCCCCAAUUACAAUUGAAGCGCUGUGUUUUGUUUUAAAAAUGUGUUGCUUGAGCUUGUGUGAGCUCCUCCUAAGCUGUGCACUUUCUCCUUAAAUUAUGGAAUUAGGGGCCUCCUCUGAUCACUGACUGAAGCUGGUGCCUGAAAACCACUGAAUCUGAUGGUGACAGACAAGUGCGUCCAAUUCCUGGAAGCCAGCUGCUGGAUACCUCUGCUGAAAGCUCCAAUGCGCAUCCAUGCUGGUAUCCACUAGCAGCUUCCCCCCACCAUCAUCUUCCACACGCAAGGAGAGGUUUGCAGUCACAGGUUCAUGCCUCAAGUUUCAAGACAUUUCAUCAACAUGAUUAUUUAGCAUUGUCAUCCAUGGUCUUGGUUUGGUGAGGCCAGGACUACAUCAGAGCUGUUUUACUGAUAUCCACUGCUUAAAGUUUAAUACACCUCCAACUGAACAGACUUUCUUACUGCACCAGGAAGUGAGACUUGGUUGUGCUACCAUGUCAAGUUAUAAUUUGGCUCCUGAUAACCACUGCAUUUGGCAACAGUAUGGUGGUGCAGGAAUUCUCAUUGGUAUGAACAAUUCUGUUUCUCAUGUGAGGGGAAACUGCAGGAUUGGCAUCUAAUCCAUAGUAUCAAACAAUCUCCUUUUCACUCUAGGACAGUCCCAGAGGAACAUAUCCUACUUUGUCCAGGGUAUUUCCCCUAUAACUUUUAAUGGGGACCAAAGAGAAGAUGUUUCUAGAGCCUGGUUAUAUAUUUCUUCUUUGCUUGAGACAGCAGUUGCUGGAAUGCAUCUGUGUCCAAUCAGGGGUUCAUAAAAACAAUUCCUGAGUCUAUGCCCCUAAAUCAUCUGCCUGCUUUAUCUGAGGUGCCAAAGACCCAUUUCCUCAGCACAACAAUCCUUUUCUAGGUCUCAGCUCUCAGCUUGGAGAUACACUUUUGUACAAGAUAUAGUUGCAAAUCCUUCUUGCUUUUGCCUUGUCUGUAUCUAGUUAGAUUCAUACCUGUAGUGUAUCCAAGACAAGUGCCAGUGAAAGUCUUCUGAUGGUGGAGAAUCAAACGGGCAUUGGGGAAAACUCCUUCUGUUUAACAGGUAUCAGGCUCAGAAAGAAGACAUGGCAUCUAAGCAAACUAAGAAGGAAAGGGGCCUAUCUGAAUAUGUUUGCUUGAGUUGACACAAGAUAUAUUUGCUCCAUGGCAGAGAUGGCAAAGGUGUUUAAAACUCUUACAAGCCACCACUUUUUUCUGUGAAGCAGCAUCCUUCAAUGCAUGGAUAUGUGAGAUGGUACAUCUGUUCUGAUCAGAUGACUGAGAACAGAGAAAACAGCUGACUGAGCUGCUGCAUGUAUGUGCAUCUGUUCAUCUGCAGAUCUGCAGGCAGGAAUGCAAGAAAGCAAAUACUUGGCAGCAGAAAAACAUGUCCUUUUUCAUAAUCUGUCACAUCCAGACUGUCAAAGCAAGGCAAAAGAGAGUGUUCAGAGAUCACUCUGCUGACUCUAUUCUAAAGAGUCAGUUGAGGGAAGAGAACCAACAAGAAUGCCAAGGAAAGAGAAAAGAACUAGACAGAGAGAGCUACCUUUUUUCUAAAGCAUUUUGCCUAAUGAUAAUAAAAGAGAGAGGCCUUGGUCUUUACAUCAUCCGAAGGUCCGAGUUUCAAGGAAGAAACAGCUGCUCAUAGCUCAAAGGACAUAGCCAGCAGAGGAGAAUGGAGCACAGAGUAUUCAGAGAAGUAUUCCUAAGUAUUCAUAUACAGAGGGAAACAACAUUUCACUGUUAAAUGGGGCCCUUAAUUGCAUGAGAGGAAAUCAGGCAAAACAGACAAAUCCGUCAAGGAAAUAGUACUAGAAAAGCUAUGACGUGUGCUGGAAAUCAGCCUAGUGCUUCCACAGUUCUGAUCCAGUCCACCUUUGCACUCCCAUGUCAGGACAAGCCAGGCCUUUUGAGCCAGGCUAUUUUGUUGUUAAAUAACAGCUUCUGCCCACCUGGUAGGAGGCCUGCUGCCUGCUCACCUUUAAAAAGAAGAUUUGAGACAGCUAUUCAUCCAAGAAGACAGAACUGAAAUUUUUUCAUUUUCUUGUGAACAAGGAGGAAAAAGAGAGUUGAAGAAGGGACACACUACCAUGUCAUGAAAAACAUUAGAGAAGAGGCAGACUCUUUCAUCACUGACUCCUUGCUUCUCCCCUCCAGAUGGUGGGAUGUCUCAAGUGAAGACUGGCAGGGACAAAGUCGCGGUGGCAGUCUGGCA
Lagopus muta (rock ptarmigan) is the source of this 3217-nucleotide long non-coding RNA. RefSeq lists it as uncharacterized. NCBI's taxonomy places the organism in Eukaryota, Metazoa, Chordata, Aves, Galliformes, Phasianidae. The transcript has 3 exons. The record is from RefSeq and is a predicted model, not a curated record.